Molecule: ribosomal RNA, 445 nt
Filed under: uncultured bacterium
Lineage: Bacteria
Description: partial 16S ribosomal RNA
Rfam family: Bacterial small subunit ribosomal RNA
Source: RNAcentral
GUGAGGAAUAUUGGACAAUGGGCGCAAGCCUGAUCCAGCCAUGCCGCGUGCAGGAAGACGCAUCUAUGGUGUGUAAACUGCUUUUGUACGGGAAGAAACACUCCCUCGUGAGGGAGCUUGACGGUACCGUAAGAAUAAGGAUCGGCUAACUCCGUGCCAGCAGCCGCGGUAAUACGGAGGAUCCAAGCGUUAUCCGGAAUCAUUGGGUUUAAAGGGUCCGUAGGCGGUUUAAUAAGUCAGUGGUGAAAGCCCAUCGCUCAACGAUGGAACGGCCAUUGAUACUGUUAGACUUGAAUUACAGGGAAGUAACUAGAAUAUGUAGUGUAGCGGUGAAAUGCUUAGAUAUUACAUGGAAUACCAAUUGCGAAGGCAGGUUACUACUUGUGGAUUGACGCUGAUGGACGAAAGCGUGGGGAGCGAACAGGAUUAGAAACCCUUGUAGUCC